AAGGUUAAAGGUCAGGCAGGGGUCACCCAGACAGGAGUCUCCAGGUGUGGCCCCGCCCCCAUCCAGGUGUGUCCCAGGUGUGUCCCCAAUGCCCCAGGUGUGUUUGGGUGUGUCCCAGGUGUGUUUGGGUGUGUCUCAGGUGUGUUUGGGUGUGUCCCACACUCACCUUGCAGGUGUCCCCGCCCCCGCCCAGGUGUCCGGCACACACCAUGGCCCAUCCCAGCUGUACCCAGCUGUACCCAGGUGUAUCCCAGGUGUAACUCAGGUAUAUCCCAGGUGUGUUUGGGUGUGUCCCAGGUGUACCCAGGUGUGUUUGGGUGUGUCCCAGGUGUAUCAGUCUCACCUUGCAGGUGUCCCCGCCCCCGCCCAGGUGUCCGGCACACACCAUGGCCCAUCCCAGCUGUACCC
RNAcentral lists this long non-coding RNA (408 nucleotides) under Zonotrichia albicollis (white-throated sparrow). RNAcentral's name for it is "lncRNA (ENSZALG00000001777.1)". The record is from RNAcentral. Lineage: Eukaryota; Metazoa; Chordata; Aves; Passeriformes; Passerellidae.